GCGAGAUUGAGUAACAUGGUUAACUCGCUAGGCUCAUGCCCUAGAGAUUGUAGGUUCAAAUCCUGCUCUCGCU
This 73-nucleotide transfer RNA is filed under the name Chattonella marina. Its description in RNAcentral is "tRNA-fMet". It matches the Rfam family "tRNA". Rfam says of the family: Transfer RNA (tRNA) molecules are approximately 80 nucleotides in length. Their secondary structure includes four short double-helical elements and three loops (D, anti-codon, and T loops). Further hydrogen bonds mediate the characteristic L-shaped molecular structure. tRNAs have two regions of fundamental functional importance: the anti-codon, which is responsible for specific mRNA codon recognition, and the 3' end, to which the tRNAs corresponding amino acid is attached (by aminoacyl-tRNA synthetases). tRNAs cope with the degeneracy of the genetic code in two manners: having more than one tRNA (with a specific anti-codon) for a particular amino acid; and 'wobble' base-pairing, i.e. permitting non-standard base-pairing at the 3rd anti-codon position. Lineage: Eukaryota; Raphidophyceae; Chattonellales; Chattonellaceae. The record is from RNAcentral.